This 77-nucleotide transfer RNA is filed under the name Kaistia algarum. RNAcentral describes it as "tRNA-Met". It matches the Rfam family "tRNA". Rfam says of the family: Transfer RNA (tRNA) molecules are approximately 80 nucleotides in length. The record is from RNAcentral. Lineage: Bacteria; Pseudomonadati; Pseudomonadota; Alphaproteobacteria; Hyphomicrobiales; Kaistiaceae.
AGCAGCGUAGAGCAGUCCGGUAGCUCGUCAGGUUCAUACCCUGAAGGCCGGCGGUUCGAAUCCGCCCGCUGCAUCCA